This 162-nucleotide ribosomal RNA is filed under the name uncultured bacterium. RNAcentral describes it as "partial 16S rRNA". It matches the Rfam family "Bacterial small subunit ribosomal RNA", at positions 358 to 511 of the family's 1533-position model. The record is from RNAcentral.
GGAAUCUUCGGCAAUGGACGAAAGUCUGACCGAGCAACGCCGCGUGAGUGAAGAAGGUUUUCGGAUCGUAAAACUCUGUUGGUAGAGAAGAACGUUGGUGAGAGUGGAAAGCUCAUCAAGUGACGGUAACUACCCAGAAAGGGACGGCUAACUAUGUGCCAG